RNAcentral lists this unclassified non-coding RNA (1413 nucleotides) under uncultured Neocallimastigales. RNAcentral describes it as "partial contains small subunit ribosomal RNA, internal transcribed spacer 1, 5.8S ribosomal RNA, internal transcribed spacer 2, and large subunit ribosomal RNA". The stretch from base 651 to 1413 matches the Rfam family "Eukaryotic large subunit ribosomal RNA", at positions 1 to 628 of the family's 3401-position model. Lineage: Eukaryota; Fungi; Neocallimastigomycota; Neocallimastigomycetes; Neocallimastigales. The record is from RNAcentral.
UUUCCGUAGGUGAACCUGCGGAAGGAUCAUUAAAAAAUAUCGCUCGAUGAGAGUGUUUAAUAAUCAUCCUACCCUUUGUGAAUUUGUUGUUUGUAAUAAUUUUUUUUGAUUUUAAAAAAAUUAUUUAUGGUUUUGUCUAUCCCUAAAAUUGGUUUGUUUGUGAAAUGAAUCAAAUUUUAGGGAAUAGGCUUUCAUAAAUAAGUUUUUUUUAAAGUCUUAAAGACCUUUUUAAAAUUAAACUUUUGUAUUCAUUUGUCUAAAUUUUUUUAAAUAAUUUAAAAACAACUUUUGACAAUGGAUCUUUGGUUCUCGCAACGAUGAAGAACGCAGCAAAAUGCGAUAAGUAAUGUGAAUUGCAGAAUACGUGAAUCAUCAGAUCUUCGAACGCAUAUUGCACUUUUUAGUUUACUAAAAAAGUAUGUCUGUUUGAGUAUCAGUAAAAUAUCUCAUAAAAACAUUUUUUGUUUUUAUGUUAUGAGUGUUUUACAACGAUAAACAAGUUGUUUCACUUUAAAUUCAUUUUAAUUUAAGACAUUUAUGGUUUUAAUAAAAAAUUGGAUAAAAUUUUCCCGUAAAAAGGAAUAAACUUUUCAGUUUUUAAUUAUUACCAACAACGGUCCGAUUUAAAAGGAAAUUUUAUUUAAAUAACUUGAUCUCAAAUCAGAUAAGAGUACCCGCUGAACUUAAGCAUAUCAAUAAGCGGAGGAAAGAAACUAACAAGGAUUCCCUUAGUACGGCGAGUGAAGCGGGAAGAGCUCAAUUUGAAAUCUUCAAGUUCUACUUGACGAAUUGUAGUUUAAGAAGUGUUUUCUGUUAGAUGAGUAGCAAAAGUUCCUUGGAAUGGACAUAUAGAGGGUGAGAAUCCCGUAUUUGGUUAUUCAUUCUAGCUUUGUGAUACACUUUCAAAGAGUCGGAUUGUUUGGGAAUGCAGUCCAAAAUGGGUGGUAAUUUCAUCUAAAGCUAAAUAUUGGCGAGAGACCGAUAGCGAACAAGUACCGUGAGGAAAGAUGAAAAGAACUUUGAAAAGAGAGUUAAACAGUACGUGAAAUUGUCAAAAGGGAAGCGUUUGACACCAGUGUUGUUUUUCCGAAAAUCAAUUACGAAUGGCUUGAUUUUGCGUUGUAUUGACCUUAUCAGCUUCCUGCACUUUUUUCGAGUCUUUCUUAAUGCACUUUUGGUUAACAAGUCAACAUCAAUUUCUUUUGUUGUAAAAGAGUAUUCGGAAGGUGGCUUUCUUUUCGGAGAAAGUGUUUAUAGCCUAUACUUCUACAAUCGGAGAGAUUGAGGUCUGCAGCGUAGAUCCUUCGGGUUAGAUACACUUGUGCUAAGUUGUAGCUUUUCAUAGACACUUGUUGACUAUGUUUAGUCAUGCGGCUUACUCGCUUUGCUAUUUUACCUACGCUUAGGAUGUUG